CCAGCCCAGAUCUGGACCAGGAGGUAGACCAGAAGCAGAUCACAACAUAUAAACUGGACCAUGAUAUAUAGACUUGACCUGGAAAUGUAGACCUGACCAAUAGAUAUAGACCAGAAAAAAGACCACAAUGCAUAGACCAGACCUGAGGAUAUAGACCAGAACUAAAUCAGGGGACAGUCCAAGCCAUGAGAUAUAGACCAGACCAGGAGAUGUAGACCAGACCAUGAGGUACAGACCAGACCAGGAGGUGUACACCAGACUACAAUACAUAGUCCAGACCAGAAGAUGUAGACUAGACCAGGAUACAUAGACCAGACCAGGAAACGUAGACUAGACCAGAAUACAUAGACCAGACCAUGAGCUACAAACCAGCCCAGGAGGUGUAUAACAGACUAUAAUACAUAGACCAGACUAGGAGAUGGAGACUAGACCAGGAUACAUAGACCAGACUAGGGGAUGUAGACCAGACCAUGAGCUACAGACCACACCAGGAGGUGUAUAACAGACUAUGAUACAUAGACCAGGAUUUGUAGACCAGACCAUGAUAUGUAGACCAGACCAUGAUAUGUAGACCAGACCAUGAGAUGUACACCAGAAAAAAGAUCACAAUGCACAGACCAGACCAGAAUAUAUGGACCAGACGUGGACAUAUAGACUAGACCACAGACCAGAGGAUUUGGAUAACUAAAGUACUGGGUUUAGUUAACCAUUGGUUAUGGGAGCUGAUUCCAUCACAU
Sphaeramia orbicularis (orbiculate cardinalfish) is the source of this 737-nucleotide long non-coding RNA. RefSeq lists it as uncharacterized. The transcript is spliced from 2 exons. Lineage: Eukaryota; Metazoa; Chordata; Actinopteri; Kurtiformes; Apogonidae. The record is from RefSeq and is a predicted model, not a curated record.